GAAAUUCUUAAAGCUUUUCUUUCUUCCAACUAAGGUGAGAUUUCGGUGGAGAAGAUGAGAUUCUCUUUCUUUCCACUUAAAUACCCAUUAAAACAAUUCUCAAACUAUUACAUAAUUAACAUUUUAACAAGUGUUCAUCUAAUCUUACAUGUGUCUUCUUUAAACCUUGCAUCAAUCGUCCACUACUUGUAACACCUUAUAGCUGGC
RNAcentral lists this long non-coding RNA (207 nucleotides) under Gossypium barbadense (sea-island cotton). RNAcentral describes it as "long non-coding RNA (GBAR_LNC018422)". The record is from RNAcentral. Lineage: Eukaryota; Viridiplantae; Streptophyta; Magnoliopsida; Malvales; Malvaceae.